AAGCGGAGGAAAAGAAACUAACAAGGAUUCCCCUAGUAACUGCGAGUGAAGAGGGAAAAGCUCAAAAUUUAAAAUCUGGCGGCUUCGCUGUCCGAGUUGUAAUUUAGAGAAGUGUUACCCUUGCUGGACCGUGUACAAGUUUCCUGGAACGGAACGUCAUAGAGGGUGAGAAUCCCGUCUUUGACACGGACUCCCAGCAUGUUGUGGUGCGCUCUCGAAGAGUCGUGUUGUUUGGGAAUGCAGCACUAAAUGGGUGGUAAAUUCCAUCUAAAGCUAAAUAUUGGCGAGAGACCGAUAGCAAACAAGUACCGUGAGGGAAAGAUGAAAAGAACUUUGGAAAGAGAGUUAAACAGUACGUGAAAUUGUUGAAAGGGAAACGCUUGAAGUCUAGUCGCGUCGGUUGGGAAUCAGUCUUGCUUCUGCUUGAUGUACUUUCUGAUCGACGGGUCAGCAUCAGUUUUGACCGUUGGAUAAAGGUUGGGGGAAUGUGGCAUCCUCGGAUGUGUUAUAGCCUCUGAUUGUAUACAACGGUUGGGACUGAGGAACUCAGCACGCCGCAAGGCCGGGUACUUGUACCACGUUCGUGCUUAGGAUGCUGGCAUAAUAGCUUUAAUCGACCCGUCUUGAAACACGGACCAAGGAGUCUAACAUGCCUGCGAGUGUUUGGGUGGAAAACCCGAGCGCGCAAUGAAAGUGAAAGUUGAGAACUCUUCAGAGUGCAUCGACGCCCGGACCAGACGUUUUCUGACGGAUCCGCGGUAGAGCAUGUAUGUUGGGACCCGAAAGAUGGUGAACUAUGCCUGAAUAGGGUGAAGCCAGAGGAAACUCUGGUGGAGGCUCGUAGCGAUUCUGACGUGCAAAUCGAUCGUCGAAUUUGGGUAUAGGGGGCGAAAGACUAAUCGAACCAUCUAGUAGCUGGUCCUGCCGA
RNAcentral lists this ribosomal RNA (928 nucleotides) under Oudemansiella yunnanensis. RNAcentral describes it as "LSU rRNA". It matches the Rfam family "Eukaryotic large subunit ribosomal RNA", at positions 48 to 964 of the family's 3401-position model. The record is from RNAcentral. Lineage: Eukaryota; Fungi; Basidiomycota; Agaricomycetes; Agaricales; Physalacriaceae.